This is a long non-coding RNA of Sparus aurata (gilthead seabream), 2716 nucleotides long. The record is from Ensembl. NCBI's taxonomy places the organism in Eukaryota, Metazoa, Chordata, Actinopteri, Spariformes, Sparidae.
CUCUGUAUCUCCCCCCUUUUUCUCAGACUUUCCCCCCUUUCUCCCUCUCUCUCUUUCACUCUCGCGGUAUCAUACUGCAAUAUAAAUAUUUACUAGAACCACUCAGCCCUCUCAUUGCCCCCCCCCCUCUUCCUCCUCCCUUGCAUCCCUCUGCAUUUCCUCCUCCCUCCCCCCUUCUUUCUCCCCUCCAUCCAUCCAUCCAUCCAUCCCUGGCUCCCUCCCUGCAUCCCUCCCUCGCCGUCCUGCCUUUUUUUCUCCUGCCUCCUAUCGCCUCUUUCUGCUUCUCCAAGCAAAACGGAGGCGCCACACCAGCGUCUGUGGAUCCACAUGCUAAAAGUCUGACCUAAAUACUUCAGGUUUUUGAUGAUUGGACCAAAACAGAGAUCAGAGGCGUCCGGCGGGCUUGUCGUGAUAGUGGAGGGAAAGGGGAGGAAGGCUGAGGAUCUGGACACACUCGCACAGAGAUGCUGUGAGAUGAAAAAGCUGCAGCGUAUCAGCUCCCUGCCCCCCAACCAAGCCACCGCUAAUCCAUGCCUGGGCGGGAGGGGUCCAUCAUUCACACGCUUGGAGGGGACGCCGGACAACCUUUGACCUUGGCUUGUGACCACACCUUGAGAUUGAAGAGCCGGUAAUGCAGCCAUGGCAGUCGGCCCACCAGUUAAUGAUCUGCUGCUUCCUUUUUCCAGCUUAAUACAGAUCCAUACUGCUCGCCACCAUUGCAACUCACACACACACACACACAUAUUGUCUUCCUACCAAACACAGUCCAGGCAGGAAACAUAGAGGUCAAAGAACGCCUCACCGGUUUCCUAAGUGCACCCAUUCAUUUUUCAUUUAAUGAUGUGAGAGGAUGUGAUAGGUGUAAGCACCGUGAUGAAGUCCCCUCUGAUUCCAUCACCGGCUGCUCCUCCGUCCUGCAGGACACAGAAUAAGGAAGGGCAGCUCCGACCAGGAGUUUUUAAAAACGUUCCAGUCCUAAACUGCUUACUCAGCUGAAUAUUAGUCCUGAGUGUGAAAAGAUUCAUUUUGUGGUUCAUCAUUAGAGUGAUACAUUUAGCUGAGAUUAUAUUGUAUGCAUCAAUCAUAGUAUUCAGACUUAACUUUUCUCGAAGCUUUUCAAUAACAUUUUUUAUGUUGAAUUCCAAAGAUGAAAUCGGCAAAGAAGUGUAGUGCAUAAGAACAUUGAAAUCGCACAGACUCAAUCCUAAGCAUAGGACCAAAACAUUGAAAAUCCUGAGAGACAUUUUUCAGUGCCUGGGGAUUAAAAGUGCAAAAAGCGAUUCUGCAGAAUGAUAGUUGAUUGAUGAGUCUCAUUCCCAGGUCCGAAAAUACUGAUGCUUGGCGUUGGCAGGUCGGGCCCCCACAAGUCGGUGCUAAACAUGAACUGCCCAAAUUGAGUCCAGCUGGAAACGGUUUACCACAUUCACACCUAUGGCAAGCCUGUGUUAAUGUAUGAUGUCAAUUCAUGAUGAGCGCAUUUUGAUCUGAUUGUUAUCAAAUUUGAAGGUGGAGGUGAUGAUGGGAUCUGGGCUGGGUGUAAAUGUAAAUCUAUACAAUGUGUCCACAUUCUUAUAGGUUCGGUUUUUAUGAUUUCUGGGGAUUAGUGGACAGAAAUCGAAUAUAACAUUUAUAAUUAUGUUUUUAUCAGUGUGUAAUCACUUGAAACUAAGAAUUGACGUGAUUUGUUAAUUUAGAAUGAGACUUUUAUGUCUACAGAGGGAGCAGGUCCUCUUCCAUUGAGUCUGACAUGUUGCACAGUGUGUUUCUACAGUGGAAUCUACCCAGAAUGGAUGAAAAGAGGGUCAGUGAUACAUUUUCCGUAGUAUUAUCAAAUCCUACACACUGGACCUUUUUAAAAAAAAAAUCAAUCACCAAGUUUAGCAUUUUCCAAACUGUGCCUCUUCCUGACCUGGGAUGCACCGUGUGCUUUUUGACAAGUCCACCUGCGCCACCGUACUAAUUUGCAUGAUCUACAGUUACACGCUACAUCACAGUGCUGGCAUUAUCAGGAGAAUGAGAACACUUACUAGUUCCAGGUCCCAUUGAUCAGACAUUAUGAUCCAGAUGAUACUGUAUAUCCAGACACAAAUCCUAGACAUGUCUUUCCCCAUUUAUCUCCCUUAAUUUCUUGUCAUCUCUUUACUUUCAAAUCUAUUUUUAAAUGAAAACAGUGUUUCUUUUAAAGAAGGCACAGUAUCAACCUUGGGCUUCAGUAGUCAUCAGUUUCAUCAAUCAAUCGAUCAAUCAAUCGAUCAGUCAGUCAAGAAACUAAUCUGUUGAUCAGCUCAAUAGUUUUGCGGGAUCAGUCAUCCAAGAGUGCCAUGGUUACUAUUAACCCAGUUUAAACCAUGUGCUGUCAGAACUCUCUUUGAGUGUUAAGUCUGGGGGGGGGGCGAGACAAGUGAGGCACACCUCAGCUCUCUGAAGUGGCUUUCCCUUCUCUGAACACUGAUCUGAUAAGAUAGGAGCAAACCCCACCACAUAUUUGUUUUCACCGCUCUUUCACUGCGGAGAAGAGAGCUCCUCUGGAAGUGGAUUCCACCAGAGAGGAGGAAUCCAGGGCUGGUUAUUGGCUUUGGCCCCCCAUCAGACUGACCCGGAGAAACCAAACAUCUGCUUCUCUUAUGUGAUGGGGACAGUAACAAUAUACGCUUGGCAGUAACCACCAGCUUCCUCGCUUACACAAAGGGAGAGUAGUCCCAUGACUCAAGGACGG